UUUCUGUUUGUGUGAGUUGAUUAUGAUUAUAGUGUGUUCUCAUGUUUGAGUACCAGAACUGUAAGCAUGCUUGAGCCUUGGUGAUCUCUAUGAUAAUGUUUACCAACAGUAGUCUGUAUAGCAACAGUUAGUAUUAAAUAUAUAUUUUUGUUAAUUAAAAUUUUCAUUUCUCAACAAAUAUUUCCAUACUAUACUCGAGCUUAAUCUGGACAUACAGCUGUUGUGCUCCUCCCUCUGUAGUAUUUCCCUGCCCAUUCAAGCUCAUUUGCCCACAUCAUUGGUUGUCUCUUAAUCCCUUGCCAUUGCAGCAUUGCUAUCCAUAUUCUCGUUGCAUAGUUACAUUUAAAAAACAGACGAUCCAUUGUCUCCUCCUCACUAUUACAUAAAGAACAUAUUAUAUUAUUAUUAUUAUUAUUAUUAUUAUUAUUAUUAUUAUUUUGUUUAAAUGGCAGAUUUUAGGUUUCUAUAGAAUUUUAAGCUUGUUUUGUUGUAACUCUCGAACGGUUUUAUUAAUUAAGGUAGCAAGCCCUAACAAAUGAUUUGGAUUACUAUUAUGUGACACUAAGUGAUGUCGAUUCUCUUUAAGAGCGCAAUUGUGGUAUGUGGGGACACUUGCGUGCUUCAUCCUCAAUGAAUAAGCGCGUGACAUCCAAGGAUUCCAUGAAUGCUGAUGUCGAAGCCAAUUCUGGUGAGUCAACUCUCUUGUUGCAAUCACUGCAUUUUAUCUUGUGCAUUAAUUUUAGAAAUCUAGUAGAAGAGGAUUAUUCAUGAAGGUUACACUCUUUUUUUUUUUGGUCCAUGGGGUGCAAUUAUCUAGAAUUGUCGGAUACUGUAGAAAUUUAAUAGUAGUAUAUCCUUAUUCUGACUGCAUUUCUUUUGCACGACAAAUUAAAAUGGAAAAAGAAGGCAGAGCUAAAAGCAUGUUUUUUGUUUUUCCUGUCAUACUCAUUAUGAUACUUUGUCUGAUAUUCUUUUGAAUUCUUGUAUUUAAACUUAGAUCUUCUUGAGAAUGGCGAGCAAGAGAUGACAAAUCCCUCUUGGAGGUAUUCGUGCCCGCAUGUACUUGUGGCAACAAUAGUUGCAUUUCUAUUUGGCUAUCAUCUUGGGUUAGUUUUGGAUCAUACUCUUUCCUCUACAUUGUCUUUCUAUAAUCUUGAGUAUCAUCUUGGUUAAUUCUGGAAAUUGUUCUCAGAGAUUUUCUCCAUGAUUAAAAGAAAUAUUGUCCUGUUCCCUGUCUCAUCUGCAGGGUAGUGAAUGAACCACUUGAAAGAAUUUCAAUUGAUCUUGGCUUCAGUGGGGAUACAUUGGCUGAAGGUAACUGACAUUCUAUUUUUUUUUAAAUAUCCGUCAUUUCUUUUUGGAAUUUCAAGUUCAAUAUUUUUCCAUGAAUGAAGGUUUGGUGGUGAGUACUUGUCUAGCUGGUGCCUUUGCUGGAUCCCUGAUCAGUGGUUGGAUUGCCGAUGGAGUUGGCCGUCGUCGAGCCUUUCAGUUGUGCUCAUUGCCCAUGAUUAUGCAUUGUGGCAACAAUAGUUGCAUUUCUAUUUGGCUAUCAUCUUGGGUUAGUUUUGGAUCAUACUCUUUCCUCUACACUGUCUUUCUAUAAUCUUGAGUAUCAUCUUGGGUUAAUUCUGGAAAUUGUUCUCAGAGAUUUUCUCCAUGAUUAAAAGAAAUAUUGUCCUGUUCCCUGUCUCAUCUGCAGGGUAGUGAAUGAACCACUUGAAAGAAUUUCAAUUGAUCUUGGCUUCAGUGGGGAUACAUUGGCUGAAGGUAACCGACAUUCUAUUCUUUUGGAAUAUCCAUCAUUUCUUUUUGGAAUUUUAAGUUCAAUAGUUUUCCAUGAAUGAAGGUUUGGUUGUGAGUACUUGUCUAGCUGGUGCCUUUGCUGGAUCCCUGAUUAGUGGUUGGAUUGCUGAUGGAGUUGGCCGUCGUCGAGCCUUUCAGUUAUGCUCAUUGCCUAUGAUUAUGGGUGCUUCAUUAUGGUAAAGUCCAAAUUUCCCCCAAUGCUCAUCUAUAUCCAAUGGUUUGGGUGGUAGACUAAAGGUUCUUCCUCUUAUUAUUGAACUUGUUGUGCUUUCAAUAUGAUCUCUUUGUGUUCUACUUAAAAAGUAUAGAAGAUGGCUGAAUUGCUUGCUAGGUUUGAGAGAAUAGCCAUGCUCCUUUUGGCGUUAAGCGGUUCUUAGGGUCUUACAUGCUUCUUCUAGGGAAGGCUCUUUCCGGUAAUGUUUCCAGUAAGGACUUAUAGGAAGGCAGUGCACUGAGAAGUUUAUGAAAAGAAAAAGGUCCAUGAUUUAGGGAAUGCCUGUUGUAAAAGUUUUACUUGGAUAUCUUCACGGGAAGGAUUUUGCAGGAACCAAACUUCUGAGAGAUUUUUAUCUGAAAGAACUCUGCCAAAAUGAAAAAAGGAGAAUAGAUACAAGAAUGACUUUUCAAUAAUGUGCUGUUGGGAAGAAACUACUAUCUCCAUUUUAUUAAAUAUUAAAAUAUAAAAAAGAUAUCCUAAAUAGACUGACGGAUAUUGGGCCUAUGGAAGCAGUGCAAUAUCUCGCCCAUUUUUCUUUUGUUUAUCAAAUCUCAUAAGUAAGUCUCGUAAUAUCAAUCUGGAUCAAUUUGGAUUAGAACUGUAACUAAGGAUAUGGCAGAUGUCUAGGUCUUCUAACCUUGUAAUCUGCGUAUAGCUUGCAUAUGGUAGACACUAAAGCAUAUGGCUUAAGAAACAUGAACUUUAGCCCAUUGAGUAUAACACUGGGAAAAGGGUUUAUUCCUCUUACAUUAAGCUAGAAGUUUUGCUUUGUAGUUUGUUUAGUUAUGUGCUUUUACAUUGGGGUGUUUUAGUGUAUACUUGUGGAUUAGAUGGUAUUUUACGCUUGUUAGUGAUCAUUAUGAACGUUACUCCGUAGAAGCGUUUCUAGUUCACUUGAAAAAAGCUAUUGUAUGUGUUGGUUGAAUGUGUGAAUUUAGUUCUGGGGAAUUUGAAUAACUGAAUGUUGCUUUUGGAUCUCUCAAGUGCAUUCAUGUUGUUUCCCCCUCCCAUCAUCUUCUUGCUCUCCUCUGUGAAGUUUCAUUCUCCUUCGCAACUCAUUAUAUGAUCUUUCAGUUAGUUAAGAAUUACGAUGUUUAGUACUAUGUGCAUAGCUUAAGUGCUGGUUUGAGUAUGUGAAAGACUUGUUGUCAACAGGAUAACAUGAGAUUUGAACUUCUAACAGUUGUUCUGGAAGAUUGAAAUCACUUAAAAUUACUCCUGCGCCCUUUGCAUAGGAAUUGACUUUUCUUAUCUUUUCUCAUUUUCCUUCUGUUUGACAAUGCUUUUUGUGGCUUUUCGAAAAGAUGCUUCGCUAGUCCCGCUAGAAGCAACAGAAUUUAUGUUUUCCAUCUCAUGGUUCUGGUAUCAGAAUUCUUAUUAUCUCUUUUGUUCUUUAAAGUCAUUUGGACUGGUAGUGACACAUGUAUUUUCCAGUGCAACAGCGAAAACUCUGGCAGACAUGCUUGCAGGAAGGUUUUUAGUGGGGUUAGGAUUGGGUGUGGGUCCUCCUGUUGCUUCUCUUUACGUAACAGAGGUAAAGCUACUAUGAGCUUUAGGGUAUGAUGCUUUUAAUUAUUUCUAACCUUCCUAGGUUCUGUUAAUAUUCUUGAUGUUGGUGCAGGUUUCUCCUGCUCAUGUGAGGGGUACUUAUGGGAGUUCGAUCCAAAUAGCAACAUGUCUUGGGCUGAUGGCAGCUCUUGUCAUAGGGAUCCCUGUCAAGAACAUAGUGGGUUGGUACGAUAAAUAGUAUUUACUGGGAAAACUUCUGUAGAUGACUUGCUUUGUGUAGCAAUGAAGUUGUAUCUGAGCUCAUUAUGUUAACAGGUGGCGUGUAUGUUUUUGGAUAUCUACUAUUCCAGCUGCAAUACUUGCACUUGCUAUGAUGUUCUGUGCUGAGUCCCCUCAUUGGCUAUAUAAGGUAUUCUAAUGUAUGGGCCUCUUGCUCCUUUGAUGAUUAUUCUCAAUGUCCAUCCUCUGACUGAGUUCUUGAGUUGUUAUAGUUCCUAGGGUCUCUAAGCUAAUCCAUAUUUAGAUGUAUACCUACUGAAUUCCUUCUGUGCUGACAAUUUUACUGGUUGAAUGUCCAAUCUCUUCUUAAGUAUCGUUUUCUUUUACUUUCUUAUAAUUAUGUUCCCUUGCUCAUAAAGGGUUGCAUCACCACUAUCUUUUUACAUUUUGUUCCUCCCUAUUGCACUUUCCAUAAGGUUUAAGCUAAUAUAUAGUCUAGAGCUAUUUGGCAUAAAUAAAGGGGGUAAAGU
Molecule: long non-coding RNA, 4278 nt
Filed under: Nicotiana benthamiana
Lineage: Eukaryota; Viridiplantae; Streptophyta; Magnoliopsida; Solanales; Solanaceae
Description: long non-coding RNA (NBEN_LNC004247)
Source: RNAcentral